Molecule: unclassified non-coding RNA, 195 nt
Filed under: uncultured fungus
Lineage: Eukaryota; Fungi
Description: sequence contains ITS1
Source: RNAcentral
GUAUGUAUUUUAUAGGCACAACAUUCUAUUAACAUACAUUGGGGUAAAUGAAGCAACAUAGACCUGGAAGGCCUACAAAAGGUGCACAGGUGGAGAUAUAAAGAUGACAAGGCGUGCACAUGCUCCCUAGAGAACCAGCAACAACCCAUCAGGUUUAUUUCAAUAAUGAUCCUUCCGCAGGUUCACCUACGGAAA